This is a long non-coding RNA of Oncorhynchus kisutch (coho salmon), 1929 nucleotides long. Lineage: Eukaryota; Metazoa; Chordata; Actinopteri; Salmoniformes; Salmonidae. The record is from Ensembl.
GUUUUUUUUUUUUCAUUUAAAUUGCCGUUAUCCUUGAAUGCCACCUUGUGGAUUAAGAUAGUAAAGGUAAAUGCUAUUGCUAUGUUCAGUUUAAAAUCAGAAUGGGAAUUCUCAGCUUCACACUUGAAUAUUCCCAGUAACACCCAACAUUUUGAAAUACCAAUUUCAGCACAUCAUGACCCAGGACUUGUACUGUAUCUCUUAUCCCCUCACCUCAUGUGAGUCCAUACCAUCUCUCUAAACUCUGACAGGUGUCUGUGUUUCCUACUCAGAAUCUGGAGAGAACACAGAAGCGGGCUUGGUGCAUUAUCCUUGGACCAUCAAACAGCAUCUAUACAUCAGCACUCAAUCUGACCGCUGAGAGAACGUGGCAACUGAACUCUGCGUCCAGCUUGCCCAUCAUCACCUCCAAUCUGACAACAGCAACCUGCUGCCACAACCACCAGAGGUCGUAACUCCCUCAUUACGGAUGCACACGCUUUCUCUCACACGCUUGACUUGGAGGAGUCAACUAAAACCGUGCAGAAAAUGAUUUCACACCCCAACAAUACAUUGUCACAACUGGCCCUAGAAGCUGGCCUGACCUUAUCGGUUUAAGGACAAUGGUUUUUGCUCUGAGCUAAAUGUUAGACGUGUGUACUUCUACCGCGCAUCUCAUAGUGCCGCGCUGCGCCGCAUAGUGAUGGGUGGACCGAAGGCAGCGCUCGCCGAGACUCAUCCCUAAAAAAAGCUCAAUGCCUCUUCCUCGGAGCCGCCGACAGCAGGCGAGACCCGUGGACCGCUUCAUUAACUGUCCAGACACGGAUUGAUUGAUCAGAUGUCUUGUUCACGACCGAAACUUCAACUAUGCAUUCACUGGAAACGCAAAUGGCUCCCAGUUUGAGGAGUGCGCGGAGAGAUUUCACCAAACUGCAUGCCUGCGGCGCGGCGGCUGGAGACGGGCGCUCACCGGGAUGGAUAAGAGUGCGAGAAGCAGGGUGGUAUCGGAGAACCAGGAGAAGAGAUGGAGCAGAAGGGAUGUCUGCAAACUGUCUGUUAUACAUAGGAAUGGUCUUACUUCUGUUGCAGUGUGCGCAGGCCACAGAGGAUGAGACAAACUACGACGCCUCUGGUUCUUCUGAUGUACCCAAUGACACAACAGCCUCCGCCCAUCCCAUUCACCCAUUGGCCGGCUUGCUGUUGGUGGAUGAGGAGCCUUUAUCAGUCGUCCAACCAGAUGGCAGGGCUGUGUCAGAGGGGGUGGGCCUGAGAGAGCAGCCUGCCUUCUCCUCCAUACUGACCCUGCUGGCGGAUAAACACCCACUGAGCUUGGUCCGAUCCAAGACCUCGCCAACCAUCAUCAAGGACAACAACCAAACCAGCCUGUGGCCUUCGGUUGCUCCCUUCUCUUCUUCUUCUUCUUCUGUGGAGCCGAGCAGAGACCUGUCUGACAGCUCAGAGACAGCGAUGGAGGAGUUAACUGUGGGAACAUCCAGAGAGACAGGGGUUAAUUUCCCCAAAGACAACGAGACCAGAUUAUCCCAAACAGGGAACCUCACCUUAGCCGACAGGCCUGCACUCACAACAUCACAGGUGUCACCUUUGACCCCUCGAGAGGACACAACGACUGCAUCCCUCCAGCUCACGACCGUGACCACCACAACCAUAGCUUCCACCACAACCACAACACAGCCAAUCACAGAGAGCCCAACCACGACAACAACACGCAGAACCACCACUGCUCCAGCCUCCAGGAGAACACUGUCACCUCCAAUCCCAAAGACCAAACCCAGAGGGACGACCACCCCGUUCCCCUUCACCACCACCACGGAGGCUCCACCCCGGCAGUGCAACGUCACAGAGAAGAUCUGGGUUAAAACAAGUAAGAGACACAGAAAAAAGAAUGAACCUUUUCUCAACAGGUUGUUACAUUGUUGGUCGUAGUUGGGG